Molecule: long non-coding RNA, 510 nt
Organism: Oncorhynchus masou masou (cherry salmon)
Lineage: Eukaryota; Metazoa; Chordata; Actinopteri; Salmoniformes; Salmonidae
Exons: 3
Source: RefSeq, a predicted model, not a curated record
CACCGCUGGAGGCAGGGAGGGGAUCGAGGCUAAGGAGCGGACCCCCACGGAUGUCCCCACUCCACCCCGUCUGUACCAAGACACCGGGAGUCUGGCAGUAAGCCAUCAGAGGCAGAGGAUCUCUCUUUCGGCUGCUGCUGACAACAGCUCUAUACCCAGAAGGCAACAACCCUUACUGUACUGUUCCAUAAAGCCACAGAGUUGGUGCCAAGAUUGACGCUGGUCAUCAUUCAAGCAAACAGUUUCCACCCUGGCCACCAGUGCAUAUUUCCAAACUAUGUUUGCAUAUAAUGACGAUAAAAUGUCAAAACAUUGCUGGUAUUAUUUGGUCUGUUAAUGUUUAUUAUAUUAUAUUCUUGGCUAAAAAAUAUGACUAUUUAUUAGUAGUAGUCAUAAUUCAUAAAUGGCACCAUACAGGGUUCUAUAGCUGAUAUCUCAAAGUGCUGAAAAUAAGAAUGUGUUCUUAACUGACUUGCCUGGUUAAAUAAAGGUAAAAUAAAUAAAAAAAUA